GACUGGGUCUUCUUUUACGUGCUGUGUAA
Molecule: non-coding RNA, 29 nt
Filed under: Mus musculus (house mouse)
Lineage: Eukaryota; Metazoa; Chordata; Mammalia; Rodentia; Muridae
Source: RNAcentral